GUUUUUAAGAAGAAGUGAAGGAGUUGAAGCAGCUCGCAAAUACUUUGUUGAUGCACGCAAGUCCCCAAAUUGCACUUACCAUGUUUAUGUAGCUUAUGCAAUGAUGGCCUUUUGUCUAGACAAGGAUGCAAAGAUGGCGCACAAUGUUUUUGAAGCAGGGUUAAAACGUUUUAUGCAUGAGCCUGGAUACAUCCUUGAGUAUGCAGAUUUUCUUUAUCGUUUGAAUGACGAUAGAAAUAUCAGGGCAUUAUUUGAACGUGCAUUGAGCUCACUGCCGCCAGAGGAAUCUGUUGAGGUUUGGAAAAAGUUCACUCAAUUUGAGCAAACAUAUGGAGACCUUGCCAGCAUGUUGAAGGUUGAGCAGAGAAGGAAAGAAGCUCUUUCUAGAACAGGUGAUGAUGGAGCAUCAGAGUUAGAGAGUUCGUUGCAUGAUGUUGUAUCACGCUACAGUUUCAUGGAUCUUUGGCCUUGCUCUUCAAACGACUUGGAUCAUUUAGCACGCCAAGAGUGGCUCGCGAGGAACAUCAAUAAAAAACCUGACAAACCUACUCUUGGUAUUGAGGCAGGUUCUGCAGACAAGACUACUUCUGGUGUUUCAUCCAAUACAAAUCCGCCUGCUAAGGUUGUGUAUCCAGAUACUUCAAAAAUGACGGUUUACGACCCGAGGCAAAUUCCAGGUCCUGCUGCGCUUGCAGCUCCAUCUGCUUCAGGCACCUUGCCCUAUUCUGGUCCAUUUAGCAGCAAUGGACCUCCAAUUGCCCUUAAUGAUAUUUUGAAAUCCUUGCCCCCUGCAUUUGCAGCGUUCGUAGCAAAUUUGCCAGCUGUUGAAGGUCCUUCUCCUGAUGCUGAUUUUGUGAUAUCUGUAUGUUUGCAAAGCAACAUCCCUGCAGCAACUGGAAAAUCCGGGACUGCCUCUCUGCCAUUGCUGUCAGGCGCUGCUCCAUCUACGAGUGACCUCUCUGAUUCAAGCAAAUUCAGGCCGAGAGACAGACAGCCUGGAAAGAGGAAAGACAUGGACAGACCAGAGGAUGAUGAAUCAACGACUAUGCAAAGCCAGCCCCUUCCUAGAGAUCUUUUCAAGAUUCGCCAAUUACAAAAAAACCGUGUUGGUAAUUCGUCUCGAGUUACUAGUUCAUACACAGGAUCAGCAUCAUACGGAAGUGCGCUUUCAGGAGAUCUCUCGGGCAGCACUAGUUGACCUCGGACUUGUUUCUUAGUUUUCAACUGAGCAGCAGACCGAUGUGACUGAUAGAUGAGGCGACAUACAUUCCAAUCUCUGCCAUUUGCGUCUGGCCAUUCUGUAGUGUACUCUAUUUUGCUGAGAUGUAAUAUUAACAUUUACAUGUCAUUAUAAUUAAUCUUAUUUUUCAGAUGUUCCAUUUAUAAAGAACAGAUCCCUGUUCAAGAAAGCUACAUGCAACGAUCAACGUUGUUUGGCAUGAUUAGUGAAGUGGUG
Molecule: unclassified non-coding RNA, 1456 nt
Filed under: Hevea brasiliensis (rubber tree)
Lineage: Eukaryota; Viridiplantae; Streptophyta; Magnoliopsida; Malpighiales; Euphorbiaceae
Source: RNAcentral